UCUAAUAUGGCAGAUUAGUGCAAUGGACUUAAACCCCACACAUAAAGCUUAAGCUUUUUUUAGAA
Molecule: transfer RNA, 65 nt
Filed under: Exema canadensis
Lineage: Eukaryota; Metazoa; Arthropoda; Insecta; Coleoptera; Chrysomelidae
Description: tRNA-Leu
Source: RNAcentral